This 246-nucleotide ribosomal RNA is filed under the name uncultured bacterium. RNAcentral describes it as "partial 16S ribosomal RNA". It matches the Rfam family "Bacterial small subunit ribosomal RNA", at positions 86 to 334 of the family's 1533-position model. The record is from RNAcentral.
AGAUGGCGACCGGCGCACGGUGAGUAACACGUAUCCAACCUGCCGAUAACUCGGGGAUAGCCUUUCGAAAGAAAGAUUAAUACCCGAUGGCAUAAUAGAACCGCAUGGUUUGAUUAUUAAAGAAUUUCGGUUAUCGAUGGGGAUGCGUUCCAUUAGGCAGUUGGUGGGGUAACGGCCCACCAAACCUUCGAUGGAUAGGGGUUCUGAGAGGAAGGUCCCCCACAUUGGAACUGAGACACGGUCCAA